RNAcentral lists this ribosomal RNA (467 nucleotides) under uncultured bacterium. RNAcentral's name for it is "partial 16S ribosomal RNA". It matches the Rfam family "Bacterial small subunit ribosomal RNA", at positions 29 to 507 of the family's 1533-position model. The record is from RNAcentral.
ACGAACGCUGGCGGCGUGCUUAACACAUGCAAGUCGAACGGAAAGGCCCUGCUUUUGUGGGGUGCUCGAGUGGCGAACGGGUGAGUAACACGUGAGUAACCUGCCCUUGACUUUGGGAUAACUUCAGGAAACUGGGGCUAAUACCGGAUAGGAGCUCCUGCUGCAUGGUGGGGGUUGGAAAGUUUCGGCGGCUGGGGAUGGACUCGCGGCUUAUCAGCUUGUUGGUGUGGUAGUGGCUUACCAAGGCUUUGACGGGUAGCCGGCCUGAGAGGGUGACCGGCCACAUUGGGACUGAGAUACGGCCCAGACUCCUACGGGAGGCAGCAGUGGGGAAUAUUGCACAAUGGGCGGAAGCCUGAUGCAGCAACGCCGCGUGCGGGAUGACGGCCUUCGGGUUGUAAACCGCUUUCGCCUGUGACGAAGCGUGAGUGACGGUAAUGGGUAAAGAAGCACCGGCUAACUACGUG